This 72-nucleotide transfer RNA is filed under the name Sus scrofa (pig). It matches the Rfam family "tRNA". Rfam says of the family: Transfer RNA (tRNA) molecules are approximately 80 nucleotides in length. Their secondary structure includes four short double-helical elements and three loops (D, anti-codon, and T loops). The record is from Rfam by way of RNAcentral. Lineage: Eukaryota; Metazoa; Chordata; Mammalia; Artiodactyla; Suidae.
UCCCUGGUAGCCUAAUAGUUAGGAUUUGGCACUUUCACUGCUGUGGCCCAGGUUCAAUCCCUGGUCUGGGAG